AUGAAGAUUACUUGAAUAUCUUGUUAAAAAGCAGAAUCUAAUCCAGAAGGUCUGGGUUUGCAUUUCUAAAUGAACUCCCAGGUAAUGCUGAU
RNAcentral lists this microRNA precursor (92 nucleotides) under Marmota monax (woodchuck). Lineage: Eukaryota; Metazoa; Chordata; Mammalia; Rodentia; Sciuridae. The record is from RNAcentral.